This 1206-nucleotide long non-coding RNA is filed under the name Homo sapiens (human). Its description in RNAcentral is "HSALNT0306690". Lineage: Eukaryota; Metazoa; Chordata; Mammalia; Primates; Hominidae. The record is from RNAcentral.
AACAGGAGUUUUGAAGUCCACAAGAACCUAGGUUAAUAUCUGGCCUUUACUACUUAUUAUCUAUGGGACUUUGUUCCAGAACAAUCAUUUCUAUCUUCAUUUUUCUUUUGAGUACAUUUUAGAUAAUUAAACUGUUAAGAUGGAAGUCAAGAUUAAAGGGUAAUAGUCCUUGGUGCAUUGUAGGUGUAUAAAUGUUGGCUUGUUUCAUUAUGACUACUUCUUUACCUGACUAUGAGUGGCAAAAAAGACAGAAACCAUGUCAGUAACAAGAGAUGGUGUGAUUAGAAAACUAUGUAUGGGUUCAUGGUAGCUAUGCCUUGCAGAACUAUCACAGCAGCCUUUGUCUCAUAGGUAGCAGAGAAAACAGACUAUGCAGUUCUGAAACUUAAAUACUAAAUUUGGAAGGUUGUCCUAUGUAUCGAAUAGACUUGUGAGUCCAUGAAGAUAUUGCAGGAGACUAAUAAAAUAGCUCUACUCUGGGAAAUUAAUAGAUUCUGUUCUGCUUGUUCUGUCCACACUAUACUCUAAAAAAUACUGCAUGAUAAGGUUGCUGAUUGUGUAAAGGGCUCUUGUAGUAGCACUCUGGAACUGUGAAGUGGGGCAAACAAUGUAUCUUAAUUUAUAACCACUCAGCAAAUGUAAAAUGGUAGGAGAUUCACUUUUUCUGGGUAGUUCUGAGCUUUUUCUUCUCUUUUGCAGAGAGAAUUCAGCUCACUAUGAUUUCUGCAAUAUACAAUUAUGGGAAAUCAUGUUUGGAUUGACACUGCAGACAGAAAUGGCAUGCAUGAUUCCUGUUUGGACAGGAAUAGCUGUUGGGGAGGAAGCCAACCUUGAAUGACACUGAAGAGCAACAUAAUGAAGCAUGAAUUGACAGGCAUCCUUCACGUUGCUUCUGGCUUCCCGUGUAAAAAGCCAUAUCUGAGCGCAGCUCUUAUGGGGCCAGAUCCAGGGGAGGAGAAAGGAAGUGAGGCCCAGAAAAAAUACAUUGUCAUGGAGGAGUGAAACUGAAGACAAAACAAAAAGGACUUUCCACAACUAGGCCCCUGGCUUACACUGCAAUGGAAGAAGAGGAGCAGAAAUACUGCCAAAGAUCCUUAUGAUGGCAUUGCAUUUUAGACUGCUUUUCAACUGAUUAUGACAGUAUCAACAAAAGAAACUUUCAUUUGAGGGACAUGGAUGGAGCUGGAGGCCAUUAUCCUUAGCAAG